This 28-nucleotide small RNA is filed under the name Bombyx mori (domestic silkworm). Its description in RNAcentral is "ovarian small RNA-9875". The record is from RNAcentral. Lineage: Eukaryota; Metazoa; Arthropoda; Insecta; Lepidoptera; Bombycidae.
AAAAGCCAAUCGAUCUCCACGUUCGGAU